GAUUAACGCUGGCGGCGUGCAUAACACAUGCAAGUCGAACGAUGAAGAUUAUUAGACUUCUUCGGAAUGAAAAUAAUUGGAUUAGUGGCGGACGGGUGAGUAACGCGUGAGUAAUCUGCCUUACACAAGGGGAUAGCCGUUGGAAACGACGAAUAAUACCCUAUGAAACUAUCACUUCGCAUGAAGCGAUAGUCAAAGUGUUAGCGGUGUAAGAUGGACUUGCGUCUGAUUAGCUAGUUGGUGAGAAAAAAGCCCACCAAGGCAACGAUCAGUAGCCGGCUUGAGAGAGUGUACGGCCACAUUGAGACUGAGACACGGCCCAGACUCCUACGGGAGGCAGCAGUGGGGAAUUAUGCACAAUGGGGGAAACCCUGAUGCAGCGACGCCGCGUGAUUUAGAAGGCCUUCGGGUUGUAAAAAUCUUUUGUAUAGGAAGAAAAUGACAGUACUAUACGAAUAAGGUCCGGCUAAUUACGUG
Molecule: ribosomal RNA, 477 nt
Filed under: uncultured bacterium
Lineage: Bacteria
Description: partial 16S ribosomal RNA
Rfam family: Bacterial small subunit ribosomal RNA
Source: RNAcentral